GCCGGGCACGGUGGCUUGUGCCUGUAAUCCAAGCGCCGGGGAGGCUGAGGCUGGUGGACGGCUUGAGCCUGGGGGUUCUGGGCUGCAGCGAGCUGUGCCGAGCGGGCGUCCGCGCUAAGUUCAGCAUCGAUAUGGUGGUCCCGGGGGAGCCGGGGGCCACCAGGUCGCCUAAGGAGGGGUGAACCGGCCCAGGUCGGAGACGGAGCAGGUCAAAGCUCC
This 219-nucleotide signal recognition particle RNA is filed under the name Cathartes aura (turkey vulture). Its description in RNAcentral is "Metazoan signal recognition particle RNA". It matches the Rfam family "Metazoan signal recognition particle RNA", at positions 1 to 219 of the family's 299-position model. Rfam says of the family: The signal recognition particle (SRP) is a universally conserved ribonucleoprotein. Lineage: Eukaryota; Metazoa; Chordata; Aves; Accipitriformes; Cathartidae. The record is from Rfam by way of RNAcentral.